GAUGAACGCUGGCGGCGUGCCUAAUACAUGCCAGUCGAGCGAACGGACGAGAAGCUUGCUUCUCUGAUGUUAGCGGCGGACGGGUGAGUAACACGUGGAUAACCUACCUAUAAGACUGGGAUAACUUCGGGAAACCGGAGCUAAUACCGGAUGAUAUUUUGAACCGCAUGGUUCAAAAGUGAAAGACGGUCUUGCUGUCACUUAUAGAUGGAUCCGCGCUGCAUUAGCUAGUUGGUAAGGUAACGGCUUACCAAGGCAACGAUGCAUAGCCGACCUGAGAGGGUGAUGGGCCACACUGGAACUGAGACACGGUCCAGACUCCUACGGGAGGCAGCAGUAGGGAAUCUUCCGCAAUGGGCGAAAGCCUGACGGAGCAACGCAGCGUGAGUGAUGAAGGUCUUCGGAUCGUAAAACUCUGUUAUUAGGGAAGAACAUAUGUGUAAGUAACUGUGCACAUCUUGACGGUACCUAAUCAGAAAGCCACGGCUAACUACGUG
RNAcentral lists this ribosomal RNA (497 nucleotides) under uncultured bacterium. Its description in RNAcentral is "partial 16S ribosomal RNA". It matches the Rfam family "Bacterial small subunit ribosomal RNA", at positions 28 to 507 of the family's 1533-position model. The record is from RNAcentral.